CCUACGGGUAGCAGCAGUGGGGAAUAUUGCUCAAUGGUGGAAACCCUGAAGCAGCAACGCCGCGUGGAGGAUGAAGGUUUUCGGAUUGAAAACUCCUUUUGGUAGAGAAGAUAAUGACGGUAUCUAACAAAUAAUCACCUGCUAAUUCAGUGCCAGCAGCCGCGGUAAUACGUAGUGGGCAAGCGUUACUCGGAAUCACUGGGCGUAACGAGCGCGUAGGCGGGAUAGCAAGUCAGAUGUGAAAUCCUAUGGCGUAACCAUAGAACUGACUUUGAAACUGUUAUUCUAGAGUAUGUGAGAGGUAGGUGGAAUUCUUGGUGUAGGGGUAAAAUCCGUAGAGAUCACGAGGAAUACUCAUUGCGAAGGCGACCUGCUAGAACAUAACUGACGCUGAUGCGCGAAAGCGUGGGGAGCAAACAGGAUUAGAUACCCUUGUAGUC
RNAcentral lists this ribosomal RNA (440 nucleotides) under uncultured bacterium. RNAcentral describes it as "partial 16S ribosomal RNA". It matches the Rfam family "Bacterial small subunit ribosomal RNA", at positions 338 to 795 of the family's 1533-position model. The record is from RNAcentral.